GAUGAACGCUGGCGGCGUGCCUAAUACAUGCAAGUCGAGCGAACAGACGAGGAGCUUGCUCCUCUGACGUUAGCGGCGGACGGGUGAGUAACACGUGGAUAACCUACCUAUAAGACUGGGAUAACUUCGGGAAACCGGAGCUAAUACCGGAUAAUAUAUUGAACCGCAUGGUUCAAUAGUGAAAGACGGUUUUGCUGUCACUUAUAGAUGGAUCCGCGCCGCAUUAGCUAGUUGUUAAGGUAACGGCUUACCAAGGCGACGAUGCGUAGCCGACCUGAGAGGGUGAUCGGCCACACUGGAACUGAGACACGGUCCAGACUCCUACGGGAGGCAGCAGUAGGGAAUCUUCCGCAAUGGGCGAAAGCCUGACGGAGCAACGCCGCGUGAGUGAUGAAGGUCUUCGGAUCGUAAAACUCUGUUAUUAGGGAAGAACAAAUGUGUAAGUAACUAUGCACGUCUUGACGGUACCUAAUCAGAAAGCCACGGCUAACUACGUG
Molecule: ribosomal RNA, 497 nt
Filed under: uncultured bacterium
Lineage: Bacteria
Description: partial 16S ribosomal RNA
Rfam family: Bacterial small subunit ribosomal RNA
Source: RNAcentral